Molecule: ribosomal RNA, 505 nt
Filed under: uncultured bacterium
Lineage: Bacteria
Description: partial 16S ribosomal RNA
Rfam family: Bacterial small subunit ribosomal RNA
Source: RNAcentral
GACGAACGCUGGCGGCGUGCCUAAUACAUGCAAGUGGGACGCAAGGAAACACACUGUGCUUGCACACCGUGUUUUCUUGAGUCGCGAACGGGUGAGUAACGCGUAGGUAACCUGCCUAUUAGCGGGGGAUAACUAUUGGAAACGAUAGCUAAUACCGCAUAAUAUUAAUUAUUGCAUGAUAAUUGAUUGAAAGAUGCAAGCGCAUCACUAGUAGAUGGACCUGCGUUGUAUUAGCUAGUUGGUAAGGUAAGAGCUUACCAAGGCGACGAUACAUAGCCGACCUGAGAGGGUGAUCGGCCAAACUGGGACUGAGACACGGCCCAGACUCCUACGGGAGGCAGCAGUAGGGAAUCUUCGGCAAUGGACGAAAGUCUGACCGAGCAACGCCGCGUGAGUGAAGAAGGUUUUCGGAUCGUAAAGCUCUGUUGUAAGUCAAGAACGUGUGUGAGAGUGGAAAGUUCACACAGUGACGGUAGCUUACCAGAAAGGGACGGCUAACUACGUG